Molecule: long non-coding RNA, 2979 nt
Filed under: Homo sapiens (human)
Lineage: Eukaryota; Metazoa; Chordata; Mammalia; Primates; Hominidae
Description: non-protein coding lnc-RAI14-3:1
Source: RNAcentral
AUUCACCUCCUGCUGACUCGGGAAGCUGUUCCACCAUCCAUCACGCAAGGUAAGAAAGGCGAAUGGCAGCACCUGGCUGGAAAAGGAGUGAGGGGAAGUAUGGGUGGCUGAUUGUGACGGAAACACAAGGCUGUACAGCACUGGCCAUGUUCCUUGAGUCAAAAUGAUCCAGGUGGCUUUCAAAAAUCUUAGUACAUGAGAAAUACCCCAUGGCCCACUCUCUUAUUUCCCCUUUCACCAUGGAAACUCGCCAAGCUGAGUUUCUUGACUGGGCUACCUGCACGACCAAACCAAACAGGCACCUAAUCUCUAAUCUUACUGCUGGGCUCUGUCUCAGACCAGAUGAGCAGAGUUCAGGCUGGAUAUCCCACAGGAGGAAGGCUGAAUACCCCUCUCCUCACCAAAGUUGGUUAAGGUCUGGGUGAGUUAUGUCUCAUGUUCCUGUUGUGAAAUGGAAUGAACAAACAGGGGAUGUGAUUCAUGUCUGUAGACACGUAGUAUUCCUGAGAGCUAAUCAGGAAAUGCCAUUUCAUGUCUGGUCUUAUAAAGCCUCUUCAAAAAUUUGAUAGAGGCUAAAGGGGAGCAAUCAUUUUAAAGUGAGCUCUUGUUAUCUCUUCAACCACCUACGCCACACGCCCACCACUAAGUUCUGAGAAAACUUUACACCCCCCUCUUCUUCCUCUGCCCUAGUCCCUCUCCCCAACCCGUACCGCCAACACACACACCUGCAUACACAUGCACAUGCAAAUUGUUUGAAAGAAACAUCAUAUGGCCAGGUACGGCGGCUCACGCCUGCAAUCUCAGGACUUUGGAUGGCUGAGGCGGAAGGAUCUCUUGAACCGGCCAUAGUGGCUCAUACCUGUGGUCCCAGCCACUCAGGAGGCUGAAGUGGGAGGAUAGCUUGAGCCUGGGAAUUCCAGGCUGGGUGAGCCGAGAUCGCGCCAUUGGCCUCCAGAUCAAGUGACAGAGCCAGACCCCGUCUCAAAAAAAAAAAAAAGAAAGGAAACAUCAUACAACAUGAGGCAUACUUUACACUGAAGUAAGUUGUUGUUUUCAAGGCAAAAUGAGUUUCCCUUAAUUUAUAGGAAAUAAAAAGAAAUAUUUAAAAGACUAGUAAGAACAAAUAAAUCCAGUUCUCAGCUGGUGAUCGAUAAAUAAGAAAAAGAAAGACAGAUAAGGAGAAGAUUCACCUAUAAAUUAAGUGCAUUUAACAACUUAAAUUAUUACUUCCCCCAAAGGAAAUGAAAAUGGACCCUCUGAUCAGAGAGAUAAAGUAUGUUUUAUUUUAGUUUUUUAAUUAAUUUUGCAGGGAGACACCUAAAUUUACCAAAAAAGGGAGCUAAUAUCAGGGAAAUACAAGAUCUUAAUGGAAAGAUUAUGGAAUUCACAAGUUACUGGUGGCAACAGUUUGGACACAAUUAGACAUCUUAACGAUAAUGAAAGUAUAUAGUUUAAUGAAUCUAUGUCAAGGGAAGCCUUGAGUAUAAAACCUUUACAGGGUCCGACGAGAUGAGGACUUUUGCUCAAUGAGUAAAUAGUGUUUGACCAGUUGAUUAGUAAGGAUGUGUUUUUGAAUUCCUCGAGAUUUAACAAGAUGACAAAUCGGACUUGUUUAGAUUUCUUUUUCGGGCUAGCAAGAACACUUUGACACACUAAGUAGGAGGAGUCCCCUCAACCCUCUGUGAGACUCCUAAGCCCACUAACCCUGAAGUCACACACAGCUCAAGACACACAGAGGGGGCCUCUAAGCUGAGAGACGUUUAUUCAAAGACUUCUCUGAUCUAUCAGAACUGGUGAUCUAGGAGCUUUUUGUAAAGCUAGGUAUUCUUCCUCUCCAGAAAACAAAAGCAAAAACAAAACACUUUGCUUCUCUAUCAGAGGGAUCCUUUUCAUUUCUUUUCGGGGAAGUCUUCUUUCACGUUUAAAUGAGCUCAAUUUAUAGAUGACUCUUCUCCCUGUCUGUUCUCCUUGUCCCCUUUAUCAAGCAUGGUGAAAACUGUGGAGUCAUCCUUGUCUCAUCUGCUCUGACUAAUUUGUUUACCAUAUCUGGCCAGUUCUUCUUUUGAAGGGUGGCUGCAAUUUUCUCUUUCUUAUCUCAGUUGUUGUUGCUUUGCAUUAGCAUGUUUUCAUAGCCUCUCCUCCUCUCAGUCCCUUCCCUUCCUCCUGAAAUCUAAACCUUUCUGACACUCUUUCAUCUGGCACUGCCCCCUCACAACUGUUAUGAGUUCCUUUUUCUCCCACAUUGAGUCUGAAUUCCUCUCUAUGGCUUUCAAAGACUUUCUUAUUCUUCCUCAACCCUCUUCAUUAUCUGCUACUCCCUAGUGCUCCCUUCUCUAGUGAGGUCAAUAUUCUCUUCCACUUACUGGGCUUGUUUCUCUUCUUCCUUCUCUUUACCCAUCAAUUGCCCUGUCCAUUGGCUUAUUUUUUUUUUUUUUUUUGAGAAAGGGUCUUGCUCUGUCACCCAGGGCAGAGUGCAGUGGUGUGAUCUUGAACUCCUGGGAUCAAGCAAUUCUCCUGCCUCAGCCUCAGCCUUCCAAGUAGCUAGAGUUAUAGACGCAUGGCACCAUGCCCAGCUAAUUGUUUUUAUUUAUUUAUUUAUUUAUUUAUUUUUGAGAUAGGAUCUCACUUUGUUGCCCAGGCUGGGUUGAACUCCUGGGCUCAAGUGGUCCUCCCUCCUUCACUUCCCAAAGCGUUGGGAUUAUAGCCUUGAGCCACCGCGCUGGGGCCGGCAUUUCUCACUUCUGUCUGCAGAGCAUGUCUCCUCAUCAGAGACCAACUUCUUACAAAGUCCCACUCAAUGACUGAGAUUCUUCCCUUUCUCUAAGCUCCCACAGCAUGUAAAGUUUGUGGCACCUGGCUUGAUACAGGUCUGGAUCAUUUUCAAACCGCUCUAUUUGUGUGAAUCUUGUCUCCCACAAAAAUGAUACACUUUUCAAACAAAAAGUCCAUUUUCUCUGCUUACAUGCAUUUUGUGUCUAU